CACAUCCCUCCAUGGCUUGUGCUACAUUCCUGGAUUGUGGGUUUCCCCACCAAGCCUUCUACUGCUUGUCAGCUUCAGCCUCUUGGACUCAACUGAUUUUGCUGUCCUGGAUUUUGCUCUUGUGGACUCUGUUCAACUCCUGUCUGUUUUUGGAUGCUCCCCAGUCUUCAGUCUGCCAGUUUUGUUUCCCCACUAGCUUCUGGGUUGUCCUAGCCUGGCUAGCCUUUAGCUCGGUUUUCCCCUGGUUUUUGUAAGUACAUUGCUGUGUUGUUUGGUUCAGGUUAUUCCUGUUUGGUUUUGUGGUUUUUGUAGGUUUGGUAGUGUUUCUUUCAGUGUUAGUGGUGGUUUAGUUUGUCUGCUGGGGUCUGUUUCACGAAGCAGGUUCAACAAACUGUUGUUGGUUAAAUCAACUCUGAGUAGUUUCUCCCGGAGUUAAGCACGUGCACCACAGCUCUGAAAAGCCAGUAUUAAUGGAGCGCCGAUUCGACGAGUCACCAUGGCAACGGGUAAGCAGAGGACGACACCGUUUGAAUUGGAAAUCUUCAUGCGCUCAUAUAGCGAGUUUGAACACGUUUUUAGAAAGAAGUGCAACACCGCUGCAGCUGCAAACGAGGGGGAAACGGCGUGGGAGAGCAUUGCUGCCCGAGUCAAUGUGUGCAAUCCUGUGAGGGAGAAGUGCAUGUGGCAAACAGGUAAGAAGUAUUUAUCACUGGAUAGAGGAAUUGUGGCCAUUGCAUUACCUCCACUGUGUGUUUGUUGAGUCUUCUCCUCUACAGGCUGGGGACCUGGAACCUUUGACUGAAUUUUAAGUAACUAUUCACCGGUUUCCGCACCAUCUUUCCAUCUUUCUAUCGGGACAGCGUAGCGGCCUAUCUACCUAUGGAACAGAUUGCUAGACAGCUAGCAGAGCUAACUAUGAUUGAUAAAGUUUUCUGCACAUCAUAUUUACUAACAAACAGCAAAACCUGAACAAUAUAUACAAAUGCUAUGUGUUACAUUAAAUGUAUACAUUAACUCACUUUGUGUUGCUAAUACCUUACAAAUAGUAUGUAAACUUUUAAUUAGUUUCAGAUGUGAACACUUCACUAUACACUGCUAAAACUCUAUAUGCUACUACAUUACCAAAGGAAGCGAUCAUUAUUAACACACAAAGAUGUGAUUUAAUAUUAUAUAUUUACUUGUUGUCUUUAACCCACUUCUCAUAGGUUGGCCUGACAACAAAAUAAACCCGAUCCUUUCAUCUAGAUCUUGUUACUACAGAAAACUACAACUUCAUCCUGUGAUAUUCAUGUGCAACUCCAUACUUUAAUUUCCUCUAUAUAUUUUCAGUUAUCACUAACACAAAUUGACAAACCACUUACUCAAAAUCCAUCACACACCACAAAUAAAUAUAUGCAAUACUCCAACCACCAUAUUACAAGGCCACAUCUACAAAUGUAAACAUUGCAACACAACUUAGACAUGGCUGCAUGUUCACACUUGAACUAUGUAAACUAUCAGAAAAACAAACUAAACUAGCUCUUUCAUUUCUAUGAAAUAAAGAAAAAGGAUGCACUUGAUGCACUAUGUGUCAUGCAAAAGUUAAGUGAUUCUUCUUGCUGUACUUCUGUUUUUCUGUCCCCCGACUGCUAUUGUUUUCUUUAAUGGAAUUCUGACAAUAAAC
Molecule: long non-coding RNA, 1663 nt
Organism: Amphiprion ocellaris (clown anemonefish)
Lineage: Eukaryota; Metazoa; Chordata; Actinopteri; Pomacentridae
Source: Ensembl